This 269-nucleotide signal recognition particle RNA is filed under the name Actinobacteria bacterium RBG_16_70_17. RNAcentral's name for it is "signal recognition particle sRNA large type". It matches the Rfam family "Bacterial large signal recognition particle RNA". From Rfam's summary of the family: The signal recognition particle (SRP) is a universally conserved ribonucleoprotein involved in the co-translational targeting of proteins to membranes. The record is from RNAcentral. Lineage: Bacteria; Bacillati; Actinomycetota.
UCGUGCUAGGCGGGGCGCUAGGGGUGCCCUGUACCCGAAACCCUCUGUAUGCGGGGCUGAAUCCCCCGCCCGAGGGCUUCGCCUGUCGGGCCGAGCGCCGGGCACGUGGCGUUGAAGGCCGGGUCCUGCGCGGCGGGACGACCGUGAACCGGGUCAGGUCCGGAAGGAAGCAGCCCUAAGCGGACGGUCCCGGGUGCCGCAGGGGUGCCUGGCUCGAGCCGGCGACCCGGGACGCGCCGGGAGUCGCAGUUCGAAGGCGGGGUGCACGA